GACGAACGCUGGCGGCGCGCUUAACACAUGCCAGUCGAACGGAGGUGAGAGAAGCUUGCUUUUCUUAGCUUAGUGGCGAACGGGUGAGUCACGCGAGAGUAACCUGCACUGGGGGGGGGGACAACAGAUGGAAACGAAUUAUAACACAGCAUCAGCGCAUGAUACGGGAUGGGCGUGAGGGAUAGGAGUUUGUUAGCUUCAGGAUGGGCUCGCGUCAGAUUAGCUGGUGGGUGAUGUCAAAGCCCACCAAGGCGAGGAGUGGUAGCCGGACGGAGAGACUGCGCCGCCACAUUUGGGCUAAGACACAGCCCGGACUCCUACGGAAUGCAGCGGUGGGUGAUAUAGCACAAUGGGGGAAGCCCUGAUGCAGCGACGCCGCGUAGAGGAAGAAGUUUGUCGGAUUGUAAUCUCGUGUCGUAAGAGGCGAGAAUGACGGUACCGGACAAAAAAGCACCGGCUAACUACGUG
RNAcentral lists this ribosomal RNA (468 nucleotides) under uncultured bacterium. RNAcentral describes it as "partial 16S ribosomal RNA". It matches the Rfam family "Bacterial small subunit ribosomal RNA", at positions 28 to 507 of the family's 1533-position model. The record is from RNAcentral.